AGCCAGCAGCCGCGGUAAGACGUAGGGGACGAGCGUUGUCCGGAUUUAUUGGGCGUAAAGCGCGCGUAGGCGGUUUGGUAAGUCGGAUGUGAAAUCCCGCGGCUCAACCACGGGACUGCAUCCGAUACUGCCCGACUAGAGGUAGGUAGGGGAGAUCGGAAUUCCUGGUGUAGCGGUGAAAUGCGCAGAUAUCAGGAGGAACACCGGUGGCGAAGGCGGAUCUCUGGGCCUUACCUGACGCUGAGGCGCGAAAGCUAGGGGAGCGAACAGGAUUAGAUACCCUGGUAGUCCUAGCCGUAAACGUUGGGUGCUAGGUGUGGGGGGACAUCGACCCCCUCCGUGCCGAAGCUAACGCAUUAAGCACCCCGCCUGGGGAGUACGGCCGCAAGGCUAAAACUCAAAGGAAUUGACGGGGGCCCGCACAAGC
This 427-nucleotide ribosomal RNA is filed under the name uncultured bacterium. RNAcentral describes it as "bacterial SSU rRNA". It matches the Rfam family "Bacterial small subunit ribosomal RNA", at positions 506 to 930 of the family's 1533-position model. The record is from RNAcentral.